RNAcentral lists this ribosomal RNA (460 nucleotides) under uncultured bacterium. Its description in RNAcentral is "partial 16S ribosomal RNA". It matches the Rfam family "Bacterial small subunit ribosomal RNA", at positions 338 to 795 of the family's 1533-position model. The record is from RNAcentral.
CCUACGGUGUGCAGCAGUGAGGAAUAUUGGUCAAUGGGCGGGAGCCUGAACCAGCCAAGUCGCGUGAGGGAUGACGGCCCUAUGGGUUGUAAACCUCUUUUGCCGGGGAGCAAAGUGCCGCACGUGUGCGGUUUGGAGAGUACCCGGAGAAAAAGCAUCGGCUAACUCCGUGCCAGCAGCCGCGGUAAUACGGAGGGUGCAAGCGUUGUCCGGAAUCAUUGGGCGUAAAGAGUUCGUAGGCGGUAUGUUAAGUCUGGUGUUAAAUGCAGAAGCUCAACUUCUGUUCGGCACUGGAUACUGGCAAACUAGAAUGCGGUAGAGGUAAAGGGAAUUCCUGGUGUAGCGGUGAAAUGCUUAGAUAUCAGGAGGAACAUCGGUGGCGUAAGCGCUUUACUGGGCCGUAAUUGACGCUGAGGAACGAAAGCCAGGGUAGCAAAUGGGAUUAGAUACCCCAGUAGUC